GUGGGGAAUCUUGCGCAAUGGGCGAAAGCCUGACGCAGCCAUGCCGCGUGAAUGAUGAAGGUCUUAGGAUUGUAAAAUUCUUUCACCGGGGACGAUAAUGACGGUACCCGGAGAAGAAGCUCCGGCUAACUUCGUGCCAGCAGCCCCGGUAAUACGAAGGGGGCUAGCGUUGCUCGGAAUUACUGGGCGUAAAGGGCGCGUAGGCGGACAGCUUAGUCAGAGGUGAAAGCCCAGGGCUCAACCUUGGAAUUGCCUUUGAUACUGGCUGUCUUGAGUUUGGGAGAGGUGAGUGGAACUCCGAGUGUAGAGGUGAAAUUCGUAGAUAUUCGGAAGAACACCAGUGGCGAAGGCGACUCACUGGCCCAAUACUGACGCUGAGGCGCGAAAGCGUGGGGAGCAAACAGGAUUAGAAACCCUUGUAGUCC
RNAcentral lists this ribosomal RNA (425 nucleotides) under uncultured bacterium. RNAcentral describes it as "partial 16S ribosomal RNA". It matches the Rfam family "Bacterial small subunit ribosomal RNA", at positions 354 to 796 of the family's 1533-position model. The record is from RNAcentral.